This 458-nucleotide ribosomal RNA is filed under the name uncultured bacterium. RNAcentral describes it as "partial 16S ribosomal RNA". It matches the Rfam family "Bacterial small subunit ribosomal RNA", at positions 28 to 522 of the family's 1533-position model. The record is from RNAcentral.
GAUGAAUGCUGGCGGCGUGCUUAACACAUGCAAGUCGAGCGGUAAGGCCCUUCGGGGUACACGAGCGGCGGACGGCUGAGUAACGUGUGGGAACAUGCCCUAAAGUGAGGAAUAACUGCCCGAAAGGGUGGCUAAUGCCGCAAAUGAUCUUCGGAUUAAAGGAUUUAUCCGCUUUAGGAGUGGCCUGCGUACGAUUAGCUUGUUGGUGAGGUAAUGGCUUACCAUGGCGACGAUCGUUAGCUGGUCUGAGAGGAUGACCAGCCAGACUGGAACUGAGACACGGUCCAGACUUCUACGGGAGGCAGCAGUGAGGAAUCUUCCACAAUGGGCGAAAGCCUGAUGGAGCAACGCCGCGUGCAGGAUGAAGGCCCUCGGGUCGUAAACUGCUUUUAUGAGUGAAGAAUAUGACGGUAACUCAUGAAUAAGCACCGGCUAACUACGUGCCAGCAGCCGCAGUA